Molecule: long non-coding RNA, 486 nt
Filed under: Macaca mulatta (Rhesus monkey)
Lineage: Eukaryota; Metazoa; Chordata; Mammalia; Primates; Cercopithecidae
Description: lncRNA (ENSMMUG00000057597.1)
Source: RNAcentral
UAUUAAUAUGUAUGUACAACAGAAAAAUAAAGUCACUUCUCAAGAUAUGCAUUUGGAUACGUGGUUUAAAAAAUCCUUUCUGAAGUGAAAAGACAACCCAAUCAUAGCAUUUAGGUCAAGAAGUUCUGAAGAAUUAUUUUGUUAUCUAGUUCUUUUAAGAAUUGAAGAAAGUUUCUUCUUUAAAAAAGUCAAAUACGUGAGUAUAAAAAUAAAAUGUUCUUCUCAUUUUGGGUUAUUUUCUUUCUCUCCUUUGCACAUAACCUUCCAGAAACAUGAAAACUUUGUCUCUGGCUUUCGUUUGGAAAGACGGGAGGAUUCAAUCCUGUUUCUCACCCGGUGUGAUGUGAUGCCGCGACCUGAACCCCCAGAUAGAAAGUUUUCUUGGGCUGAUGCUGGCAUUGUCUGCAGGGGCAAAGGAAUAUAUGGGCUGACCUCCUCCUGCUCCCUGGGAUUUUAGAUACCUUUGGAAAUGGAUUUAAAACAAUG